Molecule: non-coding RNA, 24 nt
Filed under: Arabidopsis thaliana (thale cress)
Lineage: Eukaryota; Viridiplantae; Streptophyta; Magnoliopsida; Brassicales; Brassicaceae
Source: RNAcentral
GGCCUUGAACUCAUGAUCAUGUAU